AUAUGAUGGCUUGUUUGUCCAGUCAAUCCCCCCGAUUAGUUUUCAAAAGUAUGACGGCUUGUUCGUCCACUUAGAGACAAGCUGCCAUUCGGUUUCCCAUCAGACGCCACAGAUGUGAAGAGCAGCAACACGCCUGGAUGAGACAACAGCCGUAAGCGGUCACGGUCCCUGUGCACAGGAAGCCUGGAAAUGAAAACGGAGGAGGGACACCAAGAGCAACCCGACUCCAGGAGGCCAGUUCAGCGCUGCUCCUGCGUGGUAACCUUGCUCUGGCUGUGCUGUAAAACCUGGUUACAGUGGACACAGUUUCCAUCCGGUCUUAUUCCAGGUCAUCGAGCGGAGAGAUCUGGGGCCUUCAGAGGUCAAACUCACUGCCUUUACUUCCUUAAGGGUCAGCCAGUUUAAAAUGGCUGAAGUCUGAUGUGUCCAUUUUUGGUAGGUGUUAACAAAGCACCAGGACUCAUUAUCAUGAGAUCAUCCCUGACAAGCCUGAACCAUAGCUAGGACAGACACGCUCUCUCUGAAGGUCUUCACCCACCAGAUCCUGGUGGCCAGGCUGUCUUGCCUCCCUAUCUCUGUGUCUCCACAUGGUGCUCCCCUCUGGAUAUGCAACCCUGUCCCUUUCCACAUUUGAUAAACACCCCCACUACAGUGGCCCAGGCAUACCAAGUUCCAGUAUGACCUUGUCCCAUGUAGUCACAUCCGUGACUGUAUACAGGGCCUGGGAUGAGAGCUUUCUGCCUUCCAAUAGAGUCCAGUCACCAUAGUAACCCCGUUUCUGACUAAAGGAGAGUUAGUGGGACACGGACGGACAGGGAGGUGAAAGUAAGCUUCGUGAAGUGGGGGCAGGAAUCUAGAGAGGACCAACAGAGGGAAGGGGGAGUCCCAGGGACCCUAUAAAGUGCCCCAAACCCAAGCCAGUGUCCAUUUAGUAGAUUUCCAGCCUUGGACUUCUCCCGUCCUGCACACAAAUCUCCAUGGCGUGGUCUCCUAUCACUUCCAGUUGUUCAGUUCUUUGUUCAUGUCAGGGAAUGAACGUGGCAAUUCCCUAGACAAUACCCAUCACCCCCAGUCCAGGAUUUCAGAGGACAGCUGUAUACCUGACUGAAAACUGAGAAGCAUCAGAAGUGACUGUGACUCACUGGGUAUUCCAAGGGCCUCCUUAAAGCAAGGGAUACCCCAAUCAGGACGAGUGUGGUAGAAAUCCAGGUGAUCCCCCACAGCCACUAGGAGUAAGGACAGUAGAUGUUUGGGUGCCAGUGGCACAGAAUCCAAGUGCCAUUGAGGUCCAUCACCUGUGAGUCAGCACACAGAGGCUAUGGUCCCAAGGAGGUCAAAGCUGAAAGUCACGCUGGUAGCCCCACACUGGUAAUGUGCAGGGUCUCCCACACAGUCCUGCUGGUAGUGGCAUAAAGCUGCAGGAAGCAUCAGGACUGUGGAUGGCCACCCAGGACAGCAGCAGCUGUAUUAGCAAAGCUGGCCGGAGUCAAUGAGAGGAACCAUGUGUGCAGAGUCGGGGAGGCAAAGCUGUGUGCACCCUUCAGAGCUCAGGAGAUUGUGAGUGAAUCCCAGCUAUCUGGUAAUGAGCUAUUUAUAUUGGAUGACUUUUUGUUUGGCUGUGAUUGGUUUUCAUUGCGCCCUGGUUCUUUCCUCUUGGAAUUAGAAUGACAAGAAAUGUUUCUGAGUUGGCAGGUGGAUGGGUCUCAAAAUGAGGCAUCUAAAUCUUGGUUCCCUGGCUCCCCUAGUAUGUUACUGGGCUAAUGAGUGGGUGCCUCUCUUCCUCCUUCUGACCCUGGCUCUGACUCUGUGAACACAGGUGAAUGAAGCCGGUCUAGAGCAGCUGCUGAAUAGACACAGCAAAUGAGGCUCCUGGCUGAUCUCAGGCUGGUGUGGUUUACUAAAGGAGGAAGCUGGGUAGACAGAGUACCCAGUUGCGCAUGGGUAAGGCGUGGAAAUCCUGUUAUGCAGCCUGACUUCUCCUGAGGACAGAUGAGACUGUCCGAGCAGCAGCUCCCUGCUGACAGACUGGACAUCCCCAUUCAGGUGGAUGAGAAUUCAAGUAGGCAAAAGCUGACCCAAGAUCUUGUGAUCUCUCCUCCCCCAGCUUGCUUUCAAUGGACAAACUAGUUCCAAGAAUUCCUGGUCAGACUGCUUUGCUCAUGUGUUUCAUCAUACCAAUAGUAACCCUACUAGGACAAUGAGAUAUGCAAAGGUCAAAGUUCGAUAUACAGAUGGCAGGGUGUUCAAUAAGCAUGCUUGGAGGCUAUGGUAAUGUAGUCAGAGAGACUUUAGGUCCUGGGGAACCAUGGCAUCCUUCAGAAAGUCCUGUAACUGUGGGGAGUUACCUGGUGACCCCACCCAGCAAGCUCUAGCCAGUGUCUGGUCUACAAAGAAGAGGGUCGUCCAGAGGAGACUUCUCCUGCAUGCUUCCGAGGGAAGCCACAGUGAAGGAAGGCCUUUCAUUUCAACUCUGGAGUCAGUGAUUAAGGAAAAGGGCAGGGGCUCUGCUGAAGCCAGACUCUUAAGUAGUCUUGGUACUAAAAGGUAAGAGUGGCCAGUUCUGGCUACAGGUGUGAUCCUAAACACCCAGUAGGAAGGGACACUUGGGGUACGACCGUGACUGGCAUGCAUUCCUUGGGGUUUUAAGGAAUCAUACUCCCUGGACAUUGGGCUCAAUUCAACAUUGAAGCACUUAUGUGAAGCCAAGAGAGAUAGGUCCACUAUUAUUUUAACCUAAUAAUCAAAUAGUAGUUAAAUGUCUUCUCUCUCUCUGGGAGCCAUCUCUCACUGUGGUUCUAGCCACACCAAUAGCUACCAACAUGCCUGAAAGGAGAUUCAAUUCAUCACUCUCAAGACGAGUCUCGGCUGUGGGACAUUUUGGGCAAUGGCUAGCCUACUCUGGGCUACACUAAAGUGGCCUCUAGCAUUAUUCUCUCCAUGCCAUCUGGCCCUUUGCUUCUACAGAUGGUUCUGCAGAAAGAGCUCGAGAUACACUGCCUGCCAAAAUUCUACCAAAGCCACCAGGACCAGCCCAGGAGUCGCCUCCUCAGAGUUCUUUCUCUUCUAGAGCUGCAUGGCUCCCUGACAGGAUAUUUAAGGCCUAAAGACCGUUCCCUUAGAGAGACCUCCCAACAUGAUCAGUCAAACCUCGCUCUCUGAUCCAGCUGUAAACCAUACACCUUGGUAUGGUCCUUAUCAGCCUACGCAAUAACCUCGGCUCUCAAUUCUACCCUCUAUAAUAAACACGAUGCCCUUCCGGAGGACUGCAUUUUUACCACCAGAGAGCCCAGUCCACGGGAUCCCAGA
This is a long non-coding RNA of Arvicola amphibius (Eurasian water vole), 3306 nucleotides long. RefSeq lists it as uncharacterized. Lineage: Eukaryota; Metazoa; Chordata; Mammalia; Rodentia; Cricetidae. The transcript has 2 exons. The record is from RefSeq and is a predicted model, not a curated record.